Long non-coding RNA from Quercus robur (English oak), 847 nucleotides. RefSeq lists it as uncharacterized. NCBI's taxonomy places the organism in Eukaryota, Viridiplantae, Streptophyta, Magnoliopsida, Fagales, Fagaceae. The record is from RefSeq and is a predicted model, not a curated record. The transcript has 4 exons.
GCGUGUGUAUAAUGAGCAUGUAAUAGUAAAUUGAAUUUUAGCCAUGUUUUUACAUAUCCGUCCAUCUUUUCUUCUUACUUGUGCAGCAAUGGUUAAAGAAAUGGCCCAAUAAAGCUGAAAUGAUUAGCUUGCUGGAGAAGGAACCUGGUUCCAUCAAUUCAAAGUGGUUGCUCUCUUUAGGGUUUCGCCUUUUCCCUACACAAUUUUCAACUAUGCCACACGUGGUAACAAGUAUGAGGUUUGGGCCCUGAAGCUUUCCUUUAUAUCUACAGUGGUUGGUUAAUUAGGACAUUAGCAGGUGCAAAGUAUGGAAUCCUGCACCUGACUACAGUGGAAAUUAUAUACAACAUUAUCUCCUUGUAACUUUAUUUUUUUGGGGCCACAGGGUUUAUCUUUGUAAGUACAAAAACUGUACACGCAACAACAAUAACAACAAUGAAGCCUUAGUCCCAAAAGAGGAGCAAAAAAUAAAACAAUGCUUGGUUAUAUCCUAUAAGAAAUGCUUGAGACUUCUAAGCUUGUCAGUUUCUUAUGCAAGUUCUUAGUUACCAUCUGUGAAUGUGAGAAUUAAGUUAUGCUUGUUCAGUUAGUUUGACGGCACAUCAUUUUCAAGGAAGAGAAGAAACAAUCUAAUGCCCUCGAUAUCAUGGAAGAAAGUUAAGAUGAUGUAAAAGGCAGUUGUGCUACAGAAGUAUGCUCAGUUAUUGAGGUGUAGCCCAACUUCUGAAUGCUGAAUGCAAAAGCUCGUGAAAUAUAGCACCUUUGUAUGAGCUACCCAUCUUCAAGCAGUCAGCAAACGUUUAAAGGGAAGUACAUAGAAAUGAGUGAUAAGUUCAGGUGUUAGGUG